This 255-nucleotide ribosomal RNA is filed under the name uncultured bacterium. RNAcentral's name for it is "partial 16S ribosomal RNA". It matches the Rfam family "Bacterial small subunit ribosomal RNA", at positions 524 to 776 of the family's 1533-position model. The record is from RNAcentral.
UACGUAGGGUGCAAGCGUUAAUCGGAAUUACUGGGCGUAAAGCGUGCGCAGGCGGUUUUGUAAGCCAGAUGUGAAAUCCCCGGGCUUAACCUGGGAAUGGCAUUUGGGACUGCAAGGCUUGAGUGCGGCAGAGGAGACUGGAAUUCCUGGUGUAGCAGUGAAAAUGCGUAGAUAUCAGGAGGAACACCGAUGGCGAAGGCAGGUCUCUGGGCUGACACUGACGCUCAUGCACGAAAGCGUGGGGGAGCAAACAGG